Molecule: transfer RNA, 66 nt
Filed under: Argonauta hians
Lineage: Eukaryota; Metazoa; Mollusca; Cephalopoda; Octopoda; Argonautidae
Description: tRNA-Leu
Source: RNAcentral
AUAAAGUUGGCAGAAUAUAUGCAAAUAAUUUAGAAUUAUUUUAUAAAAGUUUUCUUUUACUUUAUA